AUGGCCACGGUCCGGGACUCAGCCAUUGUGCUGAUUUUGCUUUUCAUCUCCUGCUGCGAAGCCCAAGUGGUUCAGAGCCCCGAGUCGCUGGUUACUGGGGAAGGGAAGGUCUCCACCAUGUCCUGCUCUUUCACCAGCGCUUACCAAACCUUCUACUGGUACCAGCAGCUCCCUGGGCAAGGGCCGGUUCACCUGCUCACCGCGAGCUCUACUGAGAAUGUCACUGUGGGUCGGUUCCUAGGCGAGCGCCUGGAAGAUGGGAAACGCAGCUCCCUGCACAUCACCGACUCCCAGCUGGGGGACUCAGGCAGCUACCUCUGCGGAGAGGUGGACGCGAAGGUUUCUCAGCCUGCUGCGCUGUCUUUCCUAGCGGGGGGCAGGGCUGACCUCCCCUGUAACCACAGUGUCGCUGCCUACGACAGAGUUAUUUGGUACUAUCAGAGCCCCGGAGCUGCCCCUCGAGCUGUGAUCUCUGGCUACAACUCCGCGGAGACGUCGGAGCGGUUUGAACUGUCCAUUGACCCCUCCAGCCGGUCCGCUCCGCUGCGCAUCACCAAGGUGGCGGUGGAGGACUCGGGGGUGUAUUACUGCGCCGUGAGAGGCACAGCGAGAGGAAAUGCAGGGUGA
Non-coding RNA from Terrapene triunguis (Three-toed box turtle), 627 nucleotides. Lineage: Eukaryota; Metazoa; Chordata; Testudines; Emydidae. The record is from the annotation of a RefSeq genome assembly.